GACGAACGCUGGCGGCGUGCUUAACACAUGCAAGUCGAACGGAAAGGCCCUGCUUUUGUGGGGUGCUCGAGUGGCGAACGGGUGAGUAACACGUGAGUAACCUGCCCUUGACUUUGGGAUAACUUCAGGAAACUGGGGCUAAUACCGGAUAGGAGCUCCUGCUGCAUGGUGGGGGUUGGAAAGUUUCGGCGGUUGGGGAUGGACUCGCGGCUUAUCAGCUUGGUGGUGGGGUAGUGGCUUACCAAGGCUUUGACGGGUAGCCGGCCUGAGAGGGUGACCGGCCACAUUACGACUGAGCUACGGCCCAGACUCCUACGGGAGGCAGCGGUGGGGAGGAUUACACAGUGGGCGGGAGCCUGAUGCAACAACGCCGCGUGCGGGAUGAGGGCCUGCGGGUUGUAAACCACUUUCGCCUGAGACGAGGCGUUAGUGACGGUAACGGGUAAAGAAGCACCGGCUAACUACGUG
RNAcentral lists this ribosomal RNA (468 nucleotides) under uncultured bacterium. RNAcentral's name for it is "partial 16S ribosomal RNA". It matches the Rfam family "Bacterial small subunit ribosomal RNA", at positions 28 to 507 of the family's 1533-position model. The record is from RNAcentral.